This 274-nucleotide ribosomal RNA is filed under the name uncultured bacterium. RNAcentral's name for it is "partial 16S ribosomal RNA". It matches the Rfam family "Bacterial small subunit ribosomal RNA", at positions 523 to 796 of the family's 1533-position model. The record is from RNAcentral.
AUACGGAGGGUCCAAGCGUUAUCCGGAUUCAUUGGGUUUAAAGGGUCCGCAGGCGGGAAAAUAAGUCAGUGGUGAGAGCCUACAGCUCAACUGUAGAACUGCCAUUGAAACUGUUUUUCUUGAGUAUAGAUGAAGUGGGCGGAAUAUAUCAUGUAGCGGUGAAAUGCAUAGAUAUGAUAUAGAACACCGAUUGCGAAGGCAGCUCACUAAACUAUUACUGACGCUCAGGGACGAAAGCGUGGGGAGCGAACAGGAUUAGAUACCCCGGUAGUCC